CGAACAUCCAGCUAAGCCUGUCAGCAGCGUUAUUGAUCCAGCUGGUAACGGACCACGUCUAUGCAAUGAGGCCAUCUAUUCCCGAGAAUCGUAUAUGUAUAUGGGCUCGCUGGGCCAAGCGUUCAGGAUAGCCGUUCAAAAGCUGUCAGCCUUCUCCAGGUGCGACUCUUUCUUCUGACAAUUGGGCUUUUUCACGGUCAUAAAUCUCUCUUGUUGUUUUCAGUGGAAGAAUUUCGAAAUGUAUACAACUAGAGAGUAGGAGAAUUAUUGUGAUAAUGUUAAAAAUUUAGAGUCAAAUAUACUUGAAUGUAAAACAAA
Long non-coding RNA from Bombus terrestris (buff-tailed bumblebee), 318 nucleotides. RefSeq lists it as uncharacterized. Lineage: Eukaryota; Metazoa; Arthropoda; Insecta; Hymenoptera; Apidae. The transcript is spliced from 2 exons. The record is from RefSeq and is a predicted model, not a curated record.